UCUUUUCAGGUCUGUGGUUGCGAAGUUCUCUAUGAGCUUCUAGUCCAUGACAGACGAGGUCAAAGGGAUCCACGUAAGUUUAUGUGUGCGCACGUAAACGAUCAUGGCUCGUCCUAGAAGUAAGCCGUACCGCCUGUUAUAUAAAUGAGACAAAGGGUCUCGCAGGCGAGAGAGCUAUUAGUGGAGCUACUGCGGUAGUAAAGCAAACGUUCCAGUAUGCGAGUGUGGGGUCAAAUACCAGGUCAGCUGAAAAGA
RNAcentral lists this non-coding RNA (255 nucleotides) under Lancefieldella parvula DSM 20469. RNAcentral describes it as "Atopobium parvulum DSM 20469 raiA RNA". It matches the Rfam family "raiA RNA". Lineage: Bacteria; Bacillati; Actinomycetota; Coriobacteriia; Coriobacteriales; Atopobiaceae. The record is from Rfam by way of RNAcentral.